This 21-nucleotide transfer RNA is filed under the name Carinigera superba. RNAcentral's name for it is "partial tRNA-Met". Lineage: Eukaryota; Metazoa; Mollusca; Gastropoda; Stylommatophora; Clausiliidae. The record is from RNAcentral.
AAUGGAUAAUUCCUCUUUAGA